UGGGGAAUAUUGGACAAUGGGGGCAACCCUGAUCCAGCCAUGCCGCGUGAGUGAAGAAGGCCUUAGGGUUGUAAAGCUCUUUCACCUGCGACGAUGAUGACGGUAGCAGGGGAAGAAGCCCCGGCUAACUCCGUGCCAGCAGCCGCGGUAAUACGGAGGGGGCGAGCGUUGUUCGGAAUUACUGGGCGUAAAGGGCGCGCAGGCGGUUGGUCGCGUCAGAUGUGAAAGCCCCGGGCUCAACCUGGGAUGUGCAUUUGAUACGGGCUGACUAGAGAUCGGAAGAGGAGUGUGGAAUUCCCAGUGUAGAGGUGAAAUUCGUAGAUAUUGGGAGGAACACCAGUGGCGAAGGCGGCACUCUGGUCCGUAUCUGACGCUGAGGCGCGAAAGCGUGGGGAGCAAACAGGAUUAGAUACCCCUGUAGUCC
This 424-nucleotide ribosomal RNA is filed under the name uncultured prokaryote. Its description in RNAcentral is "bacterial SSU rRNA". It matches the Rfam family "Bacterial small subunit ribosomal RNA", at positions 355 to 796 of the family's 1533-position model. The record is from RNAcentral.